Molecule: transfer RNA, 73 nt
Filed under: candidate division WS5 bacterium
Lineage: Bacteria
Description: tRNA-Arg
Rfam family: tRNA
About the family: Transfer RNA (tRNA) molecules are approximately 80 nucleotides in length.
Source: RNAcentral
GCGCCCGUGGCUCAAUGGAUAGGGCACAACGUUGCGGACGUUGAGGUUACAGGUUCGAGUCCUGUCGGGCGCG